AUAUGGGCGUGGCGAAUAGCGCCGGCUAGGUCUUCCAACCUCUAGGUGGGGCGCCAGCCGGGGCGAGCCCAGCACCCCGGCCGGGCAGUAGUUUUUUUUUUUUGCAUACACCAGUUCUCAGGAUAUCGGAAUCCGGUGCACAGCAGCUUCUUCAGGUUUGAGGUUCCGGAUGCCUGGGGGCGGAGAAACGGGAGGGGAAAAACAGAUGGCAAGGUGAGGCGUCCAUGGAACGACUUCUGGCCCAGCUGUGCGGCAGCAGCGCAGCGUGGCCGCUCCCGCUGUGGGAGGGGGACACCACAGGCCACUGCUUCACCCAGCUGGUGCUCAGCGCCCUGCCCCACGCGCUCCUCGCCGUGCUCAGUGCCUGUUACUUGGGCACCCCGAGGAGUCCAGAUUACAUCCUACCCUGCAGUCCUGGAUGGCGCCUCCGACUUGCAGCUUCCUUCCUGCUUUCCGUCUUCCCGCUGCUAGACCUCCUUCCAGUUGCUUUGCCACCAGGGGCAGGCCCAGGACCCAUAGGGCUAGAGGUGUUGGCAGGGUGCGUGGCAGCUGUGGCCUGGAUCAGCCACAGCCUGGCCCUGUGGGUGUUGGCACAUUCCCCUCAUGGCCACUCCCGGGGUCCCUUGGCCUUGGCCCUGGUAGCCUUGCUGCCAGCUCCAGCCCUAGUGCUGACCGUGUUGUGGCAUUGCCAGCGAGGCACACUUCUGCCCCCACUUCUCCCAGGGCCCGUGGCCCGCCUAUGCUUGCUCAUCCUGCAGCUGGCUGCACUCUUGGCCUAUGCACUGGGAUGGGCAGCUCCUGGGGGACCACGAGAACCCUGGGCUCAGGAGCCCCUCCUGCCUGAGGAUCAAGAACCUGAGGUGGCUGAAGAUGGGGAGAGUUGGCUGUCACGCUUUUCCUAUGCCUGGCUGGCACCCUUGCUGGCCCGUGGGGCCUGUGGAGAGCUCCGGCAGCCUCAGGACAUUUGCCGCCUCCCCCACAGACUGCAGCCAACCUACCUGGCUCGUGUCUUCCAGGCACACUGGCAGGAGGGGGCACGGCUGUGGAGGGCCUUGUAUGGGGCCUUUGGACGGUGCUAUCUGGCACUUGGACUGCUGAAGCUGGUGGGGACCAUGUUGGGAUUCUCAGGGCCCCUGUUGCUCUCCCUACUGGUGGGCUUCCUGGAAGAGGGGCAGGAGCCACUAAGCCACGGCCUGCUCUAUGCUCUGGGGCUAGCCGGUGGGGCUGUGCUGGGUGCUGUGCUGCAGAAUCAGUAUGGGUAUGAGGUAUAUAAGGUAACACUUCAGGCACGGGGGGCUGUGCUGAACAUCCUGUACUGCAAGGCUUUACAGCUGGGGCCCAGCCGCCCUCCUACUGGGGAGGCCCUGAACCUACUAGGCACUGACUCUGAACGGCUGCUUAACUUUGCUGGGAGCUUCCAUGAAGCCUGGGGCCUGCCCCUGCAGCUGGCCAUCACCCUCUACCUGCUGUACCAGCAGGUAGGCGUGGCCUUCGUGGGUGGUCUCAUCUUGGCACUGCUGCUGGUACCCGUCAACAAAGUGAUUGCCACCCGCAUCAUGGCCAGCAACCAGGAAAUGCUACAGCACAAGGAUGCGCGGGUUAAGCUUGUGACAGAGCUGCUGAGUGGCAUUCGGGUCAUCAAGUUCUGCGGGUGGGAGCAGGCACUGGGAGCCCGAGUAGAGGCCUGCCGGGCUCGAGAGCUGGGGCAACUCCGGGUCAUCAAAUACCUGGAUGCGGCCUGUGUAUACCUGUGGGCUGCCCUACCGGUUGUCAUCUCCAUCGUUAUCUUCAUCACCUAUGUCCUCAUGGGGCACCAGCUCACUGCCACCAAGGUGUUCACGGCCCUGGCACUGGUGCGAAUGCUCAUUCUUCCUCUCAACAACUUCCCUUGGGUGAUCAAUGGCCUCCUGGAGGCCAAAGUGUCCUUGGACCGGAUCCAGCUUUUCCUCGACCUUCCAAACCACAACCCCCAGGCCUACUACAGCCCAGAUUGUGGUAGAUUAGGAGCCCAAAUCAAGUGGCUUCUCUGUUCAGAUCCCCCUGCAGAGCCAUCUACAGUAUUGGAGCUGCAUGGAGCCUUGUUCUCCUGGGACCCAGUUGGAACCAGCCAGGAGACCUUCAUCAGUCAUCUUGAAGUGAAAAAGGGUAUGCUGGUGGGCAUCGUGGGGAAGGUCGGCUGUGGGAAGAGCUCCCUGCUGGCUGCCAUCGCUGGAGAGCUCCACAGGCUGCGUGGGCAUGUGGCAGUGCAGGGGCUGUCCAAGGGCUUUGGCCUGGCCACCCAGGAACCCUGGAUCCAGUUUGCCACCAUCCGAGACAACAUCCUCUUUGGGAAGACAUUUGAUGCACAGCUGUACAAGGAGGUGCUAGAAGCCUGCGCCCUCAAUGAUGACCUCAGUAUCCUGCCUGCUGGAGACCAGACAGAGGUGGGGGAGAAGGGUGUCACCCUUAGCGGAGGACAGCGUGCCCGGAUUGCCCUUGCUCGUGCUGUCUACCAGGAAAAGGAGCUCUAUCUCCUCGAUGACCCUCUGGCCGCUGUGGAUGCAGAUGUGGCCAACCACCUGCUGCACAGGUGCAUCCUGGGCAUGCUGAGCCACACCACACGGCUGCUCUGCACCCACCGCACUGAGUACCUGGAGAGGGCUGACGCGGUGCUGCUGAUGGAGGCCGGGCGCCUCAUCCGGGCUGGACCUCCCUCUGAGAUUCUGCCACUGGUACAAGCUGUCCCCAAAGCCUGGGCUGAGAAUGGACAAGAGUCUGACUCAGCCACAGCCCAGUCAGUACAGAACCCAGAGAAAACAAAGGAGGGGCUGGAGGAGGAGCAGAGCACAUCUGGUCGCCUGCUGCAGGAAGAAAGCAAGAAGGAGGGCGCCGUGGCCUUGCACGUGUACCAAGCUUACUGGAAGGCCGUGGGCCAGGGCUUGGCCUUAGCCAUCCUCUUCUCUCUGCUUCUCAUGCAAGCCACGCGGAACGCUGCUGACUGGUGGCUCUCCCACUGGAUCUCUCAGCUGAAGGCUGAGAAUAGCUCCCAGGAGGCGCAACCCUCCACCAGCCCAGCUUCUAUGGGGCUCUUCUCUCCGCAGCUGCUCCUCUUUUCCCCUGGAAACCUCUACACCCCAGUGUUCCCACUGCCCAAAGCUGCCCCCAAUGGCUCCUCAGACAUCCGUUUCUACCUCACCGUGUAUGCGACCAUUGCUGGUGUCAAUUCCCUCUGCACCCUUCUCCGGGCAGUGCUCUUUGCAGCAGGCACCCUUCAAGCAGCUGCCACUCUGCAUCGCCGCCUGCUGCAUCGAGUCCUUAUGGCACCAGUGACUUUCUUCAAUGCCACACCCACGGGCCGGAUCCUAAACCGCUUCUCCUCUGAUGUGGCCUGUGCGGAUGACAGCCUGCCCUUCAUCCUCAACAUCCUCCUGGCCAAUGCGGCAGGCCUGCUGGGGCUCCUGGCCGUGCUGGGCUCUGGCCUGCCCUGGCUGCUGCUCCUGCUGCCGCCUUUGAGCAUCAUGUACUAUCACGUGCAGCGCCACUACAGGGCCUCCUCACGGGAGCUGCGGCGCCUGGGCAGCCUCACCCUGUCUCCACUGUAUAGCCAUCUGGCCGAUACCUUGGCUGGCCUCUCUGUGCUCCGGGCCACAGGGGCCACCUACAGGUUUGAGGAGGAGAACCUGCGACUCCUUGAGCUAAACCAGAGGUGCCAGUUUGCCACCAGUGCCACAGUGCAGUGGCUGGACAUUCGGCUACAGCUCAUGGGGGCGGCAGUGGUCAGCGCUAUCGCAGGCAUCGCUCUGGUGCAGCACCAGCAGGGCCUCGCUAACCCAGGUGCCACCCAGGACCCCUCACCCCUACCUCACCCACAAGGCUGGUGGGCUUGUCACUGUCUUAUGCCCUGUCCCUGACGGGCCUGCUCUCGGGCCUGGUGAGCAGCUUCACACAGACAGAGGCCAUGCUGGUGAGCGUCGAGCGGCUGGAAGAGUACACCUGUGACCUGCCCCAGGAACCCCAGGGCCAGCCACUGCAGCUGGGCACCGGCUGGCUGACCCAGGGGGGCGUGGAGUUCCAGGACGUGGUGUUGGCGUACCGGCCAGGGCUGCCGAAUGCCCUGGAUGGAGUGACCUUCUGCGUGCAGCCUGGAGAGAAGUUGGGCAUCGUGGGCCGCACAGGCUCCGGCAAGUCUUCCCUGUUGUUGGUGCUCUUCCGGCUGCUAGAGCCCAGUUCAGGGCGAGUGCUGCUGGACGGCGUGGACACCAGCCAGCUGGAGCUGGCCCAGCUCAGAUCCCAGCUGGCUAUCAUCCCCCAGGAGCCCUUUUUGUUCAGUGGGACUGUUCGGGAAAACCUGGACCCCCAGGGCCUACAUAAGGACAGGACCUUGUGGCAGGCCCUGGAGCAGUGCCACCUGAGUGAGGUGAUUACAUCCAUGGGUGGUCUGGAUGGUGAGCUGGGUGAGGGGGGCCGGAGCUUAUCUCUUGGGCAGAGGCAGCUGUUGUGUUUGGCCAGGGCUCUCCUCACAGAUGCCAAGAUCCUGUGUAUCGAUGAGGCCACAGCAAGCGUGGACCAGAAGACAGACCAGCUGCUCCAGCAGACCAUCUGCAAACGCUUUGCCAACAAGACAGUGCUGACCAUUGCCCAUAGGCUCAACACGAUCCUGAACUCAGACCGGGUACUGGUGCUACAAGCGGGGAGAGUGGUAGAGCUGGACUCCCCGGCCACGCUGCGCAACCAGCCCCACUCCCUGUUCCAGCAGCUGCUGCAGAGCAGCCAGCAGGGAGUCCCUGCCUCACUCGGAGGUCCCUGAGCCCAAUCCCACACCCUGCAGAGUUCUCCCCUCUCUCUGAUCCAGGCCGGGCCUGUACAGAGGUGCUGGCUGCUUGUUUACAUUCUCCUCUGGGGCUCUACCUCUUCACACUUCCCCAGAAGGGAAAAGGGCACCCUGGGUUACUCUUUGGAAAUCACUCCUUGGUGGGCAGCAUCCUGAGGCUUCCCCAGAACCAGGCCUCUGCUCUGGCCCUCUUGCAUCUGGAACGCCAGGUGGGUUUUUCUGGCAUAGGAGGCCACUUGCAUUUUCAUAGUUUUAUUUGAUAAAAUUCCAUCUUACAUUCUGUGUAUUAAAAAAAUAAUAUUUCUGGUGUGA
This is an RNA transcript of Pan troglodytes (chimpanzee), 5122 nucleotides long. It is a transcript of the gene named ATP binding cassette subfamily C member 10, with no coding region annotated. NCBI's taxonomy places the organism in Eukaryota, Metazoa, Chordata, Mammalia, Primates, Hominidae. The transcript is spliced from 22 exons. The record is from RefSeq and is a predicted model, not a curated record.